CGUAGGGGGCGAGCGUUGUCCGGAUUUACUGGGCGUAAAGAGUGCGUAGGUGGCUUUGCAAGUCAGAUGUGAAAUACCGGGGCUUAACCCCGGGGCUGCAUCUGAAACUGUAGAGCUAGAGUACAGGAGGGGAAAGCGGAAUUCCUAGUGGAGCGGUGAAAUGCGUAGAGAUUAGGAGGAACACCGGUGGCGAAGGCGGCUUUCUGGACUGCAACUGACACUGAGGCACGAAAGUGUGGGGAGCAA
RNAcentral lists this ribosomal RNA (246 nucleotides) under uncultured bacterium. RNAcentral's name for it is "partial 16S ribosomal RNA". It matches the Rfam family "Bacterial small subunit ribosomal RNA", at positions 526 to 771 of the family's 1533-position model. The record is from RNAcentral.